This 413-nucleotide long non-coding RNA is filed under the name Struthio camelus australis. RNAcentral's name for it is "lncRNA (ENSSCUG00000015965.1)". Lineage: Eukaryota; Metazoa; Chordata; Aves; Struthioniformes; Struthionidae. The record is from RNAcentral.
GAAGAAAUAGGGUGUUUGGGAUUUUGUGUUUUUGGAAACCUGGGAAAAACAGGGAAUUUUGGAAAAAGAAACUGAAAGUAAACUUUUUAAGGUAUGUGACAUAUUUUCCCACAGAGUGAUCAGAGGCUUGUUUCAAUUUGUGCAAAUGUUGGUUUAAGGAAGCACAUGAACAUGGGAGCAGAAGUUUCAGAAUUAAACGUUGGGCUCUUCCAGAGCCCGACUCUGCCUAGAGAAACCAAAAGGAAAAGCUUGAGCAACAUCACCUUUCCCGAGACUGUAUCAACAACUGCAUUGCUCAACUUGCCUUACACCCGUGGUGACAGCGCUUAACUUGCCUGCAGUCCGCAGCUAUGAGAUGACAUAUAUGAGAAAUAUGAAAAUUACACAGAACUGCCCCUAAUAAUAACUCUGUA